GUAGGCAGCAAACGUUGUUCGGAAUUACUGGGCGUAAAGAGCGUGUAGGCGGUUUUGUUAGUUUGGUGUGAAAUCUCCCGGCUUAACUGGGAGGGUGCGCCGAAUACUGCAAGGCUUGAGUACUGGAGAGGAUAGCGGAAUUCCUGGUGUAGCGGUGAAAUGCGUAGAUAUCAGGAGGAACACCAGCGGUGUAGACGGCUGUCUGGACAGUAACUGACGCUGAGACACGAAAGCGUGGGGAGCAAACAGGAUUAGAUACCCUGGUAGUCCACGCCCUAAACGAUGCAUACUUGGUGUGGGUGAUUCAUUUUAUCCGUGCCGGAGCUAACGCGUUAAGUAUGCCGCCUGGGGAGUACGGUCGCAAGGCUG
RNAcentral lists this ribosomal RNA (369 nucleotides) under uncultured bacterium. RNAcentral describes it as "bacterial SSU rRNA". It matches the Rfam family "Bacterial small subunit ribosomal RNA", at positions 527 to 896 of the family's 1533-position model. The record is from RNAcentral.